This 467-nucleotide ribosomal RNA is filed under the name uncultured bacterium. RNAcentral's name for it is "partial 16S ribosomal RNA". It matches the Rfam family "Bacterial small subunit ribosomal RNA", at positions 28 to 506 of the family's 1533-position model. The record is from RNAcentral.
GACGAACGCUGGCGGCGUGCUUAACACAUGCAAGUCGAACGGAAAGGCCCUGCUUUUGUGGGGUGCUCGAGUGGCGAACGGGUGAGUAACACGUGAGUAACCUGCCCUUGACUUUGUGAUAACUUUAGGAAACUGGGGCUAAUACCGGAUAGGAGCUCCUGCUGCAUGUUGGGGGUUGGAAAGUUGCGGCGGUUGGGCAUGUCGUCGCGGUUUAUCAGCCUGUUUGUGGGGUAGGUGCUUACAAAGGAUUUGACGGGUAGCCGGCCUGAGAGGGUGACCGGCCCCAUAGGGCCAGGGGAGCGGCCAAGACUGAUACGGGAGGCAGGAGCGGGGAAUAGUGCACACAGCGCGGCAGGAUGAUAGAGGAACGCCGCGUGGGGGAUGACGGCUUUCGGGUUGGAAACCGCUUUCGCCUGUGACGAAGCGUGAGUGACGGUAAUGAGUAAAGAAGCACCGGCAAACUACGU